CCUAUGUCUUGUGAUUGGUGAAUUUAAUACAUUAGCAUUCAGAGUUAUUAUUGAGACAUGGUUUGUAUUUUUGGUCAUAUUUGUUUAUUUUUGUUAUUUAACUUGACUUGGUUUUCUUCUUUGAUUAGUUUUUCCUUUGAGGUGCUACCUUUCUCUUCUGAUUUUCAUUGUUGUUUUUCUUUUCUUCUUCAUGGAAUAGAUUUCCAAGGAUGUUUUGUAGUGCUGGUUUUCUAGCUAUAAAUUCUUUUAACUUUUGUUUAUCAUGGAAGGAUUUUAUUUCAUCUUGAAAUCUAAAGCUUAAUUCUGCUGGAUUCAAGAUUCUUGAUUAGCACCCAUUUUCUUUCAGCUUGAUAGAUGUUGUUCCAUGAUCUUCUAGCUUUUAGGGUCUGUGAUGAAAAAAUCUGCCACUAUCCUAUUUGAUUUUCACCUAUAUAUAAUCUGAUUCCUUUCUCACAUGGCUUUUAAAAUUCUCUCCAUAUCCUGUAUGGUGAGAAUUUUUAUUAUUAUGUGCCUUGGUAUGGAUCUGUUUUGAUUUUGUACAUUCGACAUCCUGUAGCCUCUUAAAUUUGGAUUUCCAAUUUAUUCUUCGUGUUUUGAAAGUUUUCUGAUAUUAUUUCAUUGAAUAGAUUCUUGACUCCUUUGGUUUGGUAUUCUAUGCUUCCCUCUAUCCCAAUAACUCCUAAAUUUGGUCUUGUAUGCUAUCCCAUAUUUCUUGAAUGUUCUGCUCCUGGUUCCUUACCAUUUUCUCUCUGUGGUCUAUGUUCCUUUCAAGAUUAUAUAUUUUAUCUUCAUUGUCUGAUGUGCUAUCUUCCCAGUAGUGUACUCUGUUCAUGAUGCUUUCAUUUGAGCUUUUAGUUUGGUUUACUAUUUCUUUCAUUUCAAGGAUUUUUAUUUGUUUUUUUGUUUUAGAACCUCUAUCUCCCUGUUGAGGUGAUCUUUUGCUUCUUGGAUUUGUUUAUGCAGCUCAUUAUUGAAGUGAUCUUUUACUGCUUGUCUUUGCUCUCUUAUAUCUUCUUGGAGUACACAGGACAUUUUAACCAUGUAUAUCCUGAAAUUUUUCUGUGUCCAUUUUUCUUCUGUAGCUGCCAGUGAUUCUAAUGAUGUGUUGUUUUGAUUUGUUUGGGCACUUUCUUUUCUUGUUUUUUCAUGUUCCUUGUGUGUCUUCCUUUCCAGCUCUGUGGUUCUGGGGUGUUAUUGUUUUUACCCUAUAGAUUUGUGUUGCUCUUGUAUGGUUGCAAGAUCCCUCCUUUGUUGGGAAGGACCAUGUCAACAGAUCCCAAUAUCAACCAUACAUCAUGUAUGAACAAUUUG
This 1311-nucleotide long non-coding RNA is filed under the name Marmota monax (woodchuck). The record is from RNAcentral. Lineage: Eukaryota; Metazoa; Chordata; Mammalia; Rodentia; Sciuridae.